GGCGGCGCGUCUUAAGCAUGCAAGUCGAACGGCAAGAGGUAGCAAUACCUCCUAGAGUGGCGGACUGGUGAGUAACACGUGGGUGACAUACCCUUCAGAUGGGGAUAGCUAUAGAAAUAGUAGAUAAUACCGAAUACGAGCACAGGGGUUAGAGAUCUGUGAGGAAAGGAGCUAAGGCUCCGCUGAAGGAAUGGCCUGCGGCCCAUUAGCUAGUUGGUAGGGUAAAGGCUUACCAAGGCGAUGAUGGGUAUCCGGCCUGAGAGGGUGAUCGGACACAUUGGGACUGAGAUACGGCCCAGACUCCUACGGGAGGCAGCAGCUAAGAAUAUUCCACAAUGGACGAAGUCUGAUGGAGCGACGCCGCGUGGAUGAUGAAGGCCGAAAGGUUGUAAAAUCCUUUUACACUGGAGGAAUAAGCAGAGUAGGGAAUGACUCUGUGAUGACUGUACAGUUUGAAUAAGCAACGGCUAAUUACGUGCCAGCAGCCGC
This 489-nucleotide ribosomal RNA is filed under the name uncultured bacterium. RNAcentral's name for it is "bacterial SSU rRNA". It matches the Rfam family "Bacterial small subunit ribosomal RNA", at positions 38 to 518 of the family's 1533-position model. The record is from RNAcentral.